This 130-nucleotide ribosomal RNA is filed under the name uncultured Clostridium sp. RNAcentral's name for it is "partial 16S ribosomal RNA". It matches the Rfam family "Bacterial small subunit ribosomal RNA", at positions 337 to 486 of the family's 1533-position model. The record is from RNAcentral. Lineage: Bacteria; Bacillati; Bacillota; Clostridia; Eubacteriales; Clostridiaceae.
UCCUACGGGAGGCAGCAGUGGGGAAUAUUGCGCAAUGGGGGAAACCCUGACGCAGCGACGCCGCGUGGAGGAAGAAGGCCUUCGGGUUGUAAACUCCUUGGCAGGGAAGAAGAAGACGGUACCUAGAGAG